This is a long non-coding RNA of Peromyscus eremicus (cactus mouse), 333 nucleotides long. RefSeq lists it as uncharacterized. The record is from RefSeq and is a predicted model, not a curated record. The transcript is spliced from 2 exons. NCBI's taxonomy places the organism in Eukaryota, Metazoa, Chordata, Mammalia, Rodentia, Cricetidae.
GUGUCUGCUACAGGUGUGCGUGAGUGCACAGCCGUGGCCCACGUUUGUGCUGGGGUGGCUACCAGCUUCCCAUGCAAAAGUUCCAGUAAAACAGCUGGUCAAUGUCUCACUUAGCUAUCGUCAGAGAAACUUCCUCCUGCAGAAGACGGGAACUAACACAGAGACCCACAACUGGACAAUGCACUGAGAGUGAGAGACACUGGAAGACUCAGUCCUAAAUGGGAUCUCUCCAUCAAAUCCCUCCACUUAGGGCUCAGGAAACUGCAGAAAAAGAGAAAGACUCUAAGAGCCAGAGGGGAUGAAUGAUACCAAUAAACUCUUUCCCAGAUACAA